This 253-nucleotide ribosomal RNA is filed under the name uncultured bacterium. RNAcentral describes it as "partial 16S ribosomal RNA". It matches the Rfam family "Bacterial small subunit ribosomal RNA", at positions 524 to 776 of the family's 1533-position model. The record is from RNAcentral.
UACGUAGGGGGCAAGCGUUGUCCGGAAUCAUUGGGCGUAAAGAGCGCGUAGGCGGCCCGAUAAGUCCGUUGUGAAAGUCAAGGGCUUAACCCUUGAAUGCCGGUGGAAACUGUCGGGCUAGAGUCCGGAAGAGGCGAGUGGAAUUCCAGGUGUAGCGGUGAAAUGCGCAGAUAUCAGGAGGAACACCGAUGGCGAAGGCAGCUCGCUGGGACGGUACUGACGCUGAGGCGCGAAAGCGUGGGGAGCAAACAGG